Molecule: ribosomal RNA, 503 nt
Filed under: uncultured bacterium
Lineage: Bacteria
Description: partial 16S ribosomal RNA
Rfam family: Bacterial small subunit ribosomal RNA
Source: RNAcentral
AUUGAACGCUGGCAGCAGGCUUAACACAUGCAAGUCGAGCGGGGUGAUGGUGCUUGCACUAUCACUUAGCGGCGGACGGGUGAGUAAUGCUUAGGAAUCUGCCUAUUAGUGGGGGACAACAUCUCGAAAGGGAUGCUAAUACCGCAUACGUCCUACGGGAGAAAGCAGGGGAUCACUUGUGACCUUGCGCUAAUAGAUGAGCCUAAGUCGGAUUAGCUAGUUGGUGGGGUAAGGGCCUACCAAGGCGACGAUCUGUAGCGGGUCUGAGGGGAUGAUCCGCCACACUGGGACUGAGACACGGCCCAGACUCCUACGGGAGGCAGCAGUGGGGAAUAUUGGACAAUGGGGGGAACCCUGAUCCAGCCAUGCCGCGUGUGUGAAGAAGGCCUUAUGGUUGUAAAGCACUUUAAGCGAGGAGGAGGCUCUUUUGGUUAAUACCCAAGAUGAGUGGACGUUACUCGCAGAAUAAGCACCGGCUAACUCUGUGCCAGCAGCCGCGGUAA